UCAGGGCUGGAAGGCCCCGCGCCGGGACGGGCAGGUGUGCGAUUUGGAACUGGAAGGAAUCGCUCUGUCCGAGUCCGGCCGGGUACCCGGAGGGGAAGGACGGACUACGGUUCCCGUCGCCCCGCGCGCCGGACGACCCCGGGCGAGUCCUUCGCGGCAGCGGCCGCUCCUUCGUGCCGGACCGUCCUCCUUCCAGGCAGCCGCCCGCGCCUGCUGCGGUCGGUCGGUCUCUCUGCCAGGCCCUCCCCGCGGCCCGCAGCCCUGGCUGGGGCGCCGCCGGUGACCCCAAUCACGGGCGGUAGCAGGCCGCUCCCAAACCCCAAGUCUUUACCUCUUGAGAGGUGGAAACAAUAAAUCUCCUCCCCCGGCCGCAAUUCCUGGGUAAAUUCGGGCCCCGAUCCUCGGCUCGGACCGAAGCUCUUCGCCUUGGCCCCCGCCGGCAGAACCCCGCUCUUAGCGAUCCCAGCUCGCUGCCCUGGCAGCCUGGCUCAGAAACGUGCCGCGGCUUCCCAGCGUCUGGUUAUAAAGCCCAAACUCUUAGCAUACGGUACAAGCACUGUAUGUGCUACCUAGACGCCCAGACUUGACCAGUUUCUUCCAAAAUGUUGAGUAUGGACACCGCACCUGGAAACAACCCUUCCCAGAGAGCGGUCUGGUUCCUCCGCAAAUACCGCACCCCUGCCCUUUCCUGCACCGUCUGUGGCUGCCGCUUGCUGUGGAGUAAGGGACCGGGGAUCCAGACCGGACAGCCAGAUUUCCUGUCGUUGACCCCUAAGGCGGCCCAGUACCCGAUGGACCCAUUUGCCCCGGAGCGGAAAACAAGACCGGGGUUUCCAGGGAAAGCAGCCAUACCUGUUUCAUCAUUGUCAUGGAAACAAGCAAGCAAAUGUCUACAUUGCAGGAAGUGGUGAACAGUGAAUUUGGAACCACACACCUGCCAUUAAAUUCUCGAAUUUGACCAGUGACCUGCUCAUUGUUCAAGUUCUCAGAAAACUGAACAGCUCGGUUUGGCACCUAGUCUGUGAAACCAGUGGCUCUUGAGGCAAAUCUAAGCCUGGCCUGUACCUCCCGACUUGCUGCUCACCUCUACGGGAACUCCCAGAGGAAGCCCAGGGGCGGGGGAAGACGAGACCACGCAUCCAUCCAAUGUCACCGCGGCUCUUCUGUGUGUCGCCUGACAAUACUACGGAUGCACUACUGGCACACAGACAAAGGGGGAAACCCUCAUACUAUUUAUUGAACUUAUUCACUCGGGUAGAAAGUUCCAAUUUUACAAGAGCUGCUUUCCAGCCUUUGGACUAAAUUUUGGACGCGUUGAACCAGUUAAUUGGAGUCAUUCAGAAAUUAUCAUAAUUUGCUCCAUUUCCUCUCAAAAUGUCCCCUUUUCAUCGAACCAGUUCCGUGUUUUGUUGGAGCUCUCAGCAGCCAAGCUAUUGAAUGCAUGUGUGCUGUCUCUCUAGUUCAAGUACUUGGUUCUGAG
This 1480-nucleotide long non-coding RNA is filed under the name Suricata suricatta (meerkat). RNAcentral describes it as "lncRNA (ENSSSUG00005000569.1)". The record is from RNAcentral. Lineage: Eukaryota; Metazoa; Chordata; Mammalia; Carnivora; Herpestidae.